AUCUCAAAGAGGAAGCCAGAAAAGCUGCUCUCACCUCCGCUUUUCCCUGUUUGAUUUUCUGUGUACCUCUUGGAACUGGACUCUAAAAACAAGUUAAGAGAGCAUGGUGCAAAGUCUGGAAGCAAAUCUAGCUUUAUGUUUUAAGAGACCAGAGUCCCAUUUUGACUCGUGAAUCAAGAAUUUAGUUUCCCCACUCUCGUCUUGCCUCCAAAAAAAUAACGAAAAAGGAAUAUUUCACUCAUCCAGAUGAAGGUGGCCUGAUCCUCUUACCAUCUUAAAGUCAACCAGGUUGUUUUCGCUAUUCCGAAGAGAAUCUGCUUCCUAAGGUUUGAGGGCUGUCUUCUGAAUGUUUGAAACAUUGUUCAAGUGCUAGGUAGCAAGAUGAAUGAAUUCUCACAGGGGUGAUAUGAAAAAUAUGUGACAACCUAGACAGCAGGGCACCCACCAGCCAACUUAUGGGAAGUCAAGCCAGCCUUAAGGAUGCUAGCACCAGAGCAGAGUCCUGGAGACCCCUGAACCCAAAGACCCAUAGACUGAAGUCUCCCAGAGGCUAUACACUGGGCUGAUAUCAGGAACUCAUCAGCACAGCCAUGCAAAUUGUUCAAAUACUGAGAGAUUCUGUAGUGGUCAGUAAAGAACUGCUAUGCUGAGACUCCCAAGUGCCCCUGCCCAUGUUCUGGCCACCCAGCUUCUCUCUUGGAACCUUUGGACUUCCCAUGAUCCAGCAACUAAAAGGGUAAAGCUCACCACAGGAUCACCAGAGGAUUGAGGGUAUGUGAGAACUAUUUUUAAGAAGUCAUCUGACAGUGUUUGGUAAAUGGAGGCCAGCUACCCGCUCUCCAUUCCCCUGUGCUCUGAAUCUCCAGACCCGUCUAACAAGGAGGACAUCUGUGGACUCAGCAUUCUCUGAACAGCCUCAAAUACUGACCAGCUCUUAAGUCUUCUUUUCUUUGAGCUGCUUGUCAUCCAAGAACUCAAAGAAAAGCAGAUUUGCGUCAUAGGCCAGAGGGUGUCUUGGAACAAGGACUAAAUUCUGGAAGGCUGCGUGUUUCCUCUAUGGAGAAACAAACCAAACAUAGGAUGAGAACUAAGAUUUUUUGGUUUUGUUCUUAUUUUCCCUUUCUCUGGUUAUAGGCUCACUUUUCACAGCAUCCUGCUCACCCACCCUUGCAGUUGGACGCAUGGAUCUAUCAGGGUCAAUCAGAUCUUCUCUCAAAGGAAUGGGUGGUGCUAAAAUGAAUCUGAUUCAGCCCCCUAGGAAGUGCUGUGUCCCUGUUCCCUACAUGCUAGAGUUGCCCUGCUUCCUGAUUGUUCAGUUCUAGCUCUGAUUUGCUGAGUGACCUCAUUGUUCUUCUAAUGAAGCUCCCUUCCUUAUUUCUGUUGCUCACAUCCUGAGAAUUCUGACCAACAUACCCAGAUAGAAAACAAAUUAGUGGGGAAAGACAUAAGUGUACUAUCACUGAAAACCACACAGACAGUCAUUUUACACUU
RNAcentral lists this long non-coding RNA (1491 nucleotides) under Equus caballus (horse). RNAcentral describes it as "lncRNA (ENSECAG00000045325.1)". Lineage: Eukaryota; Metazoa; Chordata; Mammalia; Perissodactyla; Equidae. The record is from RNAcentral.